Molecule: non-coding RNA, 2953 nt
Organism: Equus caballus (horse)
Lineage: Eukaryota; Metazoa; Chordata; Mammalia; Perissodactyla; Equidae
Source: RefSeq, a predicted model, not a curated record
GAGUUGUAGUUCCUAGUUGGCCACCGACCGCUUACUGGACCUUUGAGGAACUACAACUCCCAGAAAGUAUAGGGCGAGUUCCGUCGCCCCCCGGGCUCAUUGGUCCCUGCAGGAUCCAGCGUUGUGUGAAAAAGAGGAAGCUCUGGAGCAGUGCAAGGUGCUUCUGUUCUCCUGCUGGAAAGAUCCCGGGAUCCGAGCCUACUACUCAUAACAUAUCUCAAACAGAUUUUUAUUUUUUAAAAAAGAAGAAAGAAGGAAGGAAAGACAAGAGGGAAAGAAAGCAAGCUUUUAUUGAAUAUCAAUAUGUCCAUCCACGUUGUCGCAAACACUUGGAUUUUCUUUCUUGGCCCUACACAGCAACUCACUGCGACGACGUCAUGGAAGAACAGCCUCCUUGGGCAUCCAGGAUACAGUGGAGAUGAAAUGGACUCAGAGGAGUGGAUCAAGCUGACUCUGGGACCACACUGCCUUUGGCCUUCCUAUUGUAUGAAUCAAUAAAUUUCCUAAUCAUUUAAGCCAGUUUUAGUUGGGUUUUACAUUUCUUGCAACAGAAAUUUACAUUUUACAUUUCUGCAAAGCUCUCUGCCUGAUAUGGUGAUAAUACCUACAUCAUCGUUUGCUGUGAGGAUAAGAUGAGAGAGUGUCUAAAGCAGCAGCCCAAUGCCUAGGACAUGGCGAGAACCCAACAGUGGCUCUCAAGGGUGGCUCUCCAUUUUGUCCUAGAGAUGCCAAGAGGCACCUCUUGAACAAUUAAUGUCCACAGACUCCCAAGGUAUCAAGAUAACAGCCCUAGAGAUAAAACAAACGUAGACAGCAAGAGGAUUCUCCAGGACAUUGUGUCUAUCUCAGAGUCCUCCAAGUGUCUCAGCAAACAUUUACUGACUUGUACUGAACGCCUGCUUUCUACAGAGUCCAGUACUUACGAUCACGUACAAAGUGGUAUGUACAGUGCAGGAGGAGAGACCACGUGGAAAUGUAAUCAAACAGACAUGCAUUCAGAUUCCAAAUACGAGUUACCACUUUCCUUUGCUCAGUCCAGGACAGACAUUGCCAAUCAACCACCGAACUCUUUCUCACUGAGCCUAGACCCAGCCUCAAAAUCCUUCACAGCUGAACAUUCUAGAGAACCACUACCAACUGAACAAAGUGAGCACACAAGAUGAAACUUAUUUGCCUUCCCUACUGCAACGAACCAAGUGUCUGAUACUAGAUAAAAUUGGUAGACUAAAAACACAGAUACCUGGUUUAGAAGAAAAGAGUUUGGGAAGUCAAAAUUAGUGCGUAUGUAAGAAAUUGCUAACAGAUUUUAAAAAAAAAUCUCAGGGGCUGAAGGACAAAUGAUGCAAACCAGUCUGACACCAUCAGCGCCUACCUGACUCCCUGACUCCUCCCCCUCCUUCCUCCUCUUCCCACACUGGGACACAUGACCCCACUUACAGUGCAGGUCCUGCCAGUUCACUGAGCCCACUGUAGCCUUUCUUGCCUCCAGGUUCCUGUCCUUCUGGUCUGUGGGAUCAGCUGCAGCUAACCUUCCAUGCCAUGUCAACAAAGACAAUUUUAUCAGUUUGUAAAAGGUCAGGGAAGAGAUUAUCAAAUUGAUUCAAGGAACCCCACUGAGACCCGUGUACCCAGGAGAGGGCCAGAUAAAUAAAAAGAAGCUUGGGCAGCUCUUUUGGGAAGAAACAAACAUACAAACUUUUUUUUAAGUUUGCAACCAAAGCAGCGCCCCCUUCCUCUUGUAGAAUGGGAGGAAAGAUGGUAGAGAGGGUGGGCAUCUGCAAGGUGAAUUUUGUGAUAACAAUUACGUGCUGAAAGCCAGAACUGCCUCUCCAGAAAGUGGCUGGCCUUAAGUGUUGUUCGGGGGCAGGUCCUCCUCUUCACUAGAGUGAUUUCCAUUGUAUCUGGACCAGUUGAAGCUUGAGAGUUAGGGAUCAGGAUUUGGAAUUCUUAGCCCACCCCUUCCUGGACUCUACUCCCAACGAUAUACUCAAACCAAGGCUGAGGCCGCCUGGUGUAUCAACAGCCAGCCUUCUGCUACAAAUUGGAGCAAGACUGAAAACCAGAAGAUGGUGGAUCAUUUCAGAUUGGCCAGACUAAUCCUUUUUCAUUUAUAAAUAAACCGUCUUUAUUUGAGACUCAAGUCCUGCUGGUUUUGAAUUUUAAGCGGUUAUUUGUUUCUAUACUCUUGGCACCACACUGAUGUCACUGCAGCCUCUAGCUGGUCUCUCUGCCCACCCUCUUGCUCCACUCCAGUCAGUUCUACAUUGCAGCCAGUGUGAUCUUUCUAAAAUACAAUCUGAUCUUUUCAAAGCCUCCUUACUCCGUGGGAAAGUGUCCAAGCUCUUGACUACGACUUGCAAGGUCCUCUGUGAUCUGGCCUCUGCUCACACCGCCUCACCUCUCCCCACUCCCCAUUUUAUCCUUUAUCCUCCAGCAUUGUGGUGGAAAGAACAAUGGCCUCCAAAGAUAUCCAGGUCCUAAGACCCGGGAUCUGUGAAGGACAUUACCUUACACGGAAAAGGCACUUUGCAGAUGUAAUUAGAUUAAGGCUCUUGAGAGGGGGAGGUGAUCCUCGUUUAUACCAAUGGGGCCUGAUGUAAUCACAAGUGUCUUUAUCAGAGGGCGGGAGGGAAAUUAGACUACAGGAGAGGAGAAGGAUCUGACCCCAGAGGCAGAGAUUGGAGUGACGAGGCGACAGGCCAAGGAAUGCCACAGCUACCAGAAGCUGGAAGAGGCAAGAAAGGAUUCUCUCCCUGGAGCUCCCAGAAGGAACCAGCCCUGCCAACACCUCCAUUGUAGCUCCAUAAGAUUCAGUUCAGACUUCUGGCCUCUAGAACUCCAAGAGAAUACAUUUCUGUUGUUUUAAGCCACUAAAUCUAUGGUAAUCUGUUACAGCAGCAAUAGGAAACUGAUACAAGCCUUGUCAAAUGACAGUGGUUCCAGAACACAUCCU